RNAcentral lists this ribosomal RNA (468 nucleotides) under uncultured bacterium. Its description in RNAcentral is "partial 16S ribosomal RNA". It matches the Rfam family "Bacterial small subunit ribosomal RNA", at positions 28 to 507 of the family's 1533-position model. The record is from RNAcentral.
GACGAACGCUGGCGGCGUGCUUAACACAUGCCAGUCGAACGGAAAGGCCCUGCUUUUGUGGGGUGCUCGAGUGGCGAACGGGUGAGUAACACGUGAGUAACCUGCCCUUGACUUUGGGAUAACUUCAGGAAACUGGGGCUAAUACCGGAUAGGAGCUCCUGCUGCAUGGUGGGGGUUGGAAAGUUUCGGCGGUUGGGGAUGGACUCGCGGCUUAUCAGCUUGUUGGUGGGGUAGUGGCUUACCAAGGCUUUGACGGGUAGCCGGCCUGAGAGGGUGACCGGCCACAUUGGGUCUGAGAUACGGCCCAGACUCCUACGGGAGGCAGCAGUGGGGAAUAUUGCACAAUGGGCGGAAGCCUGAUGCAGCAACGCCGCGUGCGGGAUGACGGCCUUCGGGCUGUAAACCGCUUUCGCCUGUGACGAAGCGUGAGUGACGGUAAUGGGUAAAGAAGCACCGGCUAACUACGUG